UGAAAUGCGAAACUUAAUGCGAUUUGCAUGAAUCUGUGAGUCAUCAAGUAUUUGAACGCACCUUGCACUCUGCUCUGCAGAGUAUGCCUGUUUGAGAAUCAGUUCUUUCUCAACCUCGGUCGAGGUUGGAUUUGUGGAUCGCUCCGAUCCGUAGAAUGCAGUAGGUCUAGUCAAAGGACAUUGUGUGCCAGAGCGUCACAAUUGAGCCUGCGGCAACACCUUUCCAUACUCUCUUUCUCUUGAUCUCAAAUCAGGCAAGGCUACCCGCUGAACUUAA
Molecule: unclassified non-coding RNA, 277 nt
Filed under: uncultured fungus
Lineage: Eukaryota; Fungi
Description: sequence contains ITS1
Rfam family: 5.8S ribosomal RNA (bases 1-101)
Source: RNAcentral